AAUCCAUGUUGUGGGCAUGGGCUGACAAAUCCUUGAACUGCUCCCAACAUUGGAAGAAUUUUCAUCCUACUUUUAGGUGAAGUUCAUGAUUGACUUUCUAAGGGU
This is a small nucleolar RNA of Magnolia sinica, 105 nucleotides long. Lineage: Eukaryota; Viridiplantae; Streptophyta; Magnoliopsida; Magnoliales; Magnoliaceae. The record is from RefSeq and is a predicted model, not a curated record.